CUCUCACAGGUUAAGGAAAGCUGGGCAUCUUGGGGGGACUGGAUGUGCUACAGAUUCACAGCAGGAAAGACACUGAAGGCAACGGUUAUGGACCUGUAAAAGCAAAAAAUCCCUGGAGAAGAUGGACAGCUGAUACUCCCUAUGUACCAUAAUAUAAGAACCAGGAAAAAUUACAGAAUUACAGAGAGGCCAACAGAAGGAGGUCUGGGGCUUUUUCCUCCCACAAGGGGUGAGCAGCCUCAGGAGCACCGGGGAGAGCUCCUGUCCCUGCAGUGGUUUGUGGUGUGGUAGAACAGGAGGGACAGCAUUGCUUGGGAGAUGCCCCAAAGAUUAGAGGCUCAGGGCCUGAGAAAGCUCCUGUGGCUGAUUCUGUCCCCAACUCUCACCCCCAGGUCUGUUGGAUGGUCACCCACCCAGACAGGGAUGCCUGUGAUUCUCAGUACCACACACAUCCCAAAAAUCCCAAGUGAAAGGAAGAGUCCACAGAACAAAUCUCAUGGUGUUUGGAUUGCUCAUGGGCUAAGCAAGAAACAUGCAGGUUCCCAAUGGUUUCCGACUCCUGGCGUCAGCACAGAAAGAUAUGGGAGGCAAAGAACAGAGUUGUGUUUAUGGACUGAACGAAAGGACUCCUGAAAUCCUGCUUCUCCAUGGUAUCCAGGGGAUGAGCAGGGGCAAAGAUGCUUCUGUUAAGGCAACCAAGUAGGUGAGUGUAAAGCAGGGGGGCAAAGCUACUGAGGGCUGGCCUUGGCCAGGCACACAGGAGCAGUUUGGCCUGCUGGGGAAGCCCCUGCCCGGCCCUGCCCAGACUGCACGUGUGCUUUAUGGCCAGGAGGGACCCGUGGCAGUGCAAAGGCUGAUGUCUCUCCAGGCUGGACUUUAACAGCUCGUGCUCGGCUCCCAGGCACUGCUGUCUGGGCAGAGGUCACAUCCUUCCUGCCCCAGAAAGGGCUUUGGAAAGCCUGCAAAAACACUUUCUGGCCUAGUGCUGUGGAAUGUCUCCAGAAAAAGGGGUCUCCUUCCCCCGUUCUGCUCAGCUCUGUGAAACAGAAGGCCGUACAAAGUACCUGAGCACACACAGGCGAGCUGCUGAAGCCAGAGCCAGUGGCACUUGUCUGAAGUGCCCACAACAGUGGCUCUGGUGACAGAUCUGUCCCGUGCCAGUAGCCACACGUGCCUCUGGGAACAUUGUGCACGCUAAGGCAAACGUAGCAGAGCAUAAACGUGUCUGGGCACCGCUGCCAUGGAACUCCUUCAACAGCCUCCACUUAAGCACCACCGUACUGCCAGAGAUCAUAAAUAGGAGAUUAGCGCAGGGAGGGGCACGGCUGGGGGCAGAGCCAGCUCAGGGGCACAAAACAAAUCAAAAGCUCAUUUAGAGCUAAAGCAGAACUUGGUUUUGCCCAGAAGUGCCCUCACUCCAAGUGCCCACAGCGUUUGGUUUUCCUAAAACUCGUGAUGGUGAGGGAAGAAAUGUCACAGUGAGCGACCACCUCCGACUGCUCUGGAGAGCUGUGAGGCGCGGGGGCUUCGUUCCUGCCCAUCCCGGGCCUGCACCAGGACACAUCCCGGGACACGGCCCGGUCCCGCACGGGGACACAUCCCGGGACACGGCCCGGUCCCGCGCGGGGACACAUCCCGGGACACGGCCCGGUCCCGCACGGGGACAUAUCCCGGGACACGGCCCGGUCCCGCACCGGGACAUAUCCCGGGACACAUCCCGAUCCCGCACGGGGACACACCCGGGACACGGCCCGGUCCCGCACGGGGACACAUCCCGGUCCCGCACCGGGACACAUCCCGGGACACGGCCCGGUCCCGCACGUGGACACAUCCCGCCCGGUCCCGCGCGAGGAGCGCUCUCUCAGCCCAGGCCCUGCAGUACCGCUCCCGCCCACAGGAGGGCGCCAGCCACACGCGGCCGCUGCCCCCGCG
This is a long non-coding RNA of Taeniopygia guttata (zebra finch), 1932 nucleotides long. Lineage: Eukaryota; Metazoa; Chordata; Aves; Passeriformes; Estrildidae. The record is from Ensembl.